UCAAGGACGAACGCUGGCGGCCGGUGCUUAACACAUGCAAGUCGAGCGAUGAAGCUCCUUCGGGAGUGGAUUAGCGGCGGACGGGUGAGUAACACGUGGGCAACCUGCCUUGUAGAGAGGAAUAGCCAUUCGAAAGGAUGAUUAAUACCUCAUAAUAUUGUAGCUUCGCAUGAAGCAACAACCAAAGGAGCAAUCCACUACAAGAUGGGCCCGCGGCGCAUUAGCUAGUUGGUGGGGUAACGGCUCACCAAGGCGACGAUGCGUAGCCGACCUGAGAGGGUGAUCGGCCACAUUGGGACUGAGACACGGCCCAGACUCCUACGGGAGGCAGCAGUGGGGAAUAUUGCACAAUGGGGGAAACCCUGAUGCAGCAAACCGCCGCGUGAGUGAUGACGGUCUUCGGAUUGUAAAGCUCUGUCUUCAGGGACGAUAAUGACGGUACCUGAGGAGGAAGCCACGGCUAACUACGUGCCAGCCGCUGC
RNAcentral lists this ribosomal RNA (482 nucleotides) under uncultured bacterium. RNAcentral describes it as "bacterial SSU rRNA". It matches the Rfam family "Bacterial small subunit ribosomal RNA", at positions 26 to 518 of the family's 1533-position model. The record is from RNAcentral.